AGUGAACGCUGGCGGUAGGCCUAACACACGCAAGUCGAACGGCAGCACAGGAGAGCUUGCUCUCUGGGUGGCGAGUGGCGGACGGGCGAGGAAUACAUCGGAAUCUACUCUGUCGUGGGGGAUAACGUAGGGAAACUUACGCUAAUACCGCAUACGACCUACGGGUGAAAGCAGGGGACCUUCGGGCCUUGCGCGAUUGAAUGAGCCGAUGUCGGAUUAGCUAGUUGGCGGGGUAAAGGCCCACCAAGGCGACGAUCCGUAGCUGGUCUGAGAGGAUGAUCAGCCACCCUGGAACUGAGACACGGUCCAGACUCCUACGGGAGGCAGCAGUGGGGAAUAUUGGACAAUGGGCGCAAGCCUGAUCCAGCCAUACCGCGUGGGUGAAGAAGGCCUUCGGGUUGUAAAGCCCUUUUGUUGGGAAAGAAAUCCAGCUGGCUAAUACCCGGUUGGGAUGACGGUACCCAAAGAAUAAGCACCGGCUAACUUCGUGCCAGCCGCCGCCGUAA
RNAcentral lists this ribosomal RNA (506 nucleotides) under uncultured bacterium. RNAcentral's name for it is "partial 16S ribosomal RNA". It matches the Rfam family "Bacterial small subunit ribosomal RNA", at positions 29 to 523 of the family's 1533-position model. The record is from RNAcentral.